GACGAACGCUGGCGGCGUGCUUAACACAUGCAAGUCGAACGGAAAGGCCCUGCUUUUGUGGGGUGCUCGAGUGGCGAACGGGUGAGUAACACGUGAGUAACCUGCCCUUGACUUUGGGAUAACUUCAGGAAACUGGGGCUAAUACCGGAUAGGAGCUCCUGCUGCAUGGUGGGGGUUGGAAAGUUUCGGCGGUUGGGGAUGGACUCGCGGCUUAUCAGCUUGUUGGUGGGGUAGUGGCUUACCAAGGCUUUGACGGGUAGCCGGGCUGAGAGGGUGACCGGCCACAUUGGGACUGAGAUACGGCCCAGCCUCCUACGGGAGGCAGCAGUGGGGAAUAUUGCACAAUGGGCGGAGGCCUGAUGCAGCAACGCCGCGUGCGGGAUGACGGCCUUCGGGUUGUAAACCGCUUUCGCCUGUGACGAAGCGUGAGUGACGGUAAUGGGUAAAGAAGCACCGGCUAACUACGUG
This 468-nucleotide ribosomal RNA is filed under the name uncultured bacterium. Its description in RNAcentral is "partial 16S ribosomal RNA". It matches the Rfam family "Bacterial small subunit ribosomal RNA", at positions 28 to 507 of the family's 1533-position model. The record is from RNAcentral.